GUUGGUGAAAGCAAAUAUUUGGGGAUCCUCCAUUUCAACAUUGUGUUGCUUUUUUCUUUUUUAAAAGAAAUAAUGUUGGACGGGAUGGUAUUUCCAAAAAUGUGUUUUUACUUUGGUUCUAGUUGCCUUAAAGAAAUUUGUCUAUCUAUUAUAAGGGACACAAGAGGCCUCAAAUAUUUUGGGGCUUACUUUAUGGUUUUUUUUAGUGGGUUGGGAUUUCAACUUGAAGUUUGUG
This 235-nucleotide long non-coding RNA is filed under the name Medicago truncatula (barrel medic). RNAcentral describes it as "long non-coding RNA (MTRU_LNC003782)". Lineage: Eukaryota; Viridiplantae; Streptophyta; Magnoliopsida; Fabales; Fabaceae. The record is from RNAcentral.